Molecule: long non-coding RNA, 1217 nt
Filed under: Sus scrofa (pig)
Lineage: Eukaryota; Metazoa; Chordata; Mammalia; Artiodactyla; Suidae
Description: lncRNA (ENSSSCG00015041549.1)
Source: RNAcentral
UUUUCUUGCAAACAUCUUUGUUGUUCCACAUACGUGUUUUCACUGGUCAGUUUUUACCAUCUUCUGGGACUUAGGAGGCACUUUUAUCAGCAAGGAUGAGUAUAAAAAGCGCUGCAGUAACACACCCUGACAGCUCAGGGAUUCGCGGCCGGUGGUGGUUCAUUUCUGAGCCACACAAGGUCCCAUGUGGUUCAGGAAGUGCUCGGGAAUUCCAGCUGCUGCCAACUCAAGGCCCUGCCCUUGCGCCACAAGGCCUCCUGAGCCACCCCCCCAGCAGAGCAUCAGGGGCCGGCUCAGCGGCUCGGAAGUGCAGUGCGCCUCUUCUGCGCUGCCUUCACUGUCUCCAGUGCUUCACACGAUCCUGUUGCAGUGCUAUAUAUUGUAUUAAAAAUACAUGUAAUAUAUAUAUUUUAAAAAUAUGUAUUUUAAAUUUCUCAGCGGUUACUUUGUACUCGUUGACCAGCAGCACCCAGCAGGGCCCCAUGAUAAGGAGGGGCUGGGCCCUGAGCCAGGCUGGCUCCUACCUGGGUUCUUGCCUAUGUGAUGCUUAUCCUGGCUCAGAAAACUUACCAAUUGUGACAUGGAAGGAACCUUCAAGGCUACUCUGAAAUAACGGAAACCACACCGAUUAAGUCCUUGAAUGCUCAACUGUAGAGCUAUAAUUUGGGGGAGGGGCUUCCUUCAGUAGUAUACUUAAAAAAAAAUUCACUAUGGACUUUCGGCCCUUCACGGAUUAUGUCAAAGCAAUGAGAAGAAAAAUAUAUGUGUAUAACGGCCUCUCUGCAUCCCUGGUUUAUGUGCUCCUUUAUUACCCCUGAAAUAACCAAAGAAUGAAUCGACAAGAGACGCUUUACGAGGGCUGAGAUGCUGCUGAACCCCAGGGGAAGCUUCCAACGCCCCAUUUUGUAGCAGAAAACUUGUUCCAUGGGCAGCCGUUCUAGCUCCAUGGCAUGCAGAACUUUUGUUGCUUAUCUCUCGCCCCCAGGUCCCCCAGAUCAGGGUGGGAAGAAGAUGCAUUUGCUGGCCUGUACACGCGUAGGGCUGCUCCCAGAAGCCUGGCACUUGAAAGGAUUGGAAAAUGAGAGGGCACUUCAAGUGAGGAGGAGAUAACUCAUGGUACCUUCUUUCGGCAUCCAAUUUCCCUUCCCAAAGCCAUUAGCUCUAAUGUUCCAUCAUUAACUGGCUUUAAAAACACACAACCAAGCCUUGUGUUGUUU